This 76-nucleotide transfer RNA is filed under the name Podarcis lilfordi (Lilford's wall lizard). RNAcentral's name for it is "tRNA.Lys". The stretch from base 8 to 65 matches the Rfam family "tRNA", at positions 8 to 63 of the family's 71-position model. From Rfam's summary of the family: Transfer RNA (tRNA) molecules are approximately 80 nucleotides in length. Lineage: Eukaryota; Metazoa; Chordata; Lepidosauria; Squamata; Lacertidae. The record is from RNAcentral.
CAAGGGAUAGCUCAGUUGGUAGAGCAUGAGAUUCUUAAUCUCGGGGUCAUGGGUUUGAGCCCCAUGUUGGGAAAGA